UACAGAGGGUGCGAGCGUUAAUCGGAAUUACUGGGCGUAAAGCGCACGUAGGCGGCUUGGUAUGUCGGGUGUGAAAUCCCCGGGCUCAACCUGGGAACUGCAUCCGAAACUGCCUUGCUCGAGUAUGGGAGAGGGAAGUGGAAUUUCCGGUGUAGCGGUGAAAUGCGUAGAUAUCGGAAGGAACAUCAGUGGCGAAGGCGACUUCCUGGACCAAUCCUGACGCUCAGGUGCGAAAGCGUGGGGAGCAAACAGG
This 253-nucleotide ribosomal RNA is filed under the name uncultured bacterium. RNAcentral describes it as "partial 16S ribosomal RNA". It matches the Rfam family "Bacterial small subunit ribosomal RNA", at positions 524 to 776 of the family's 1533-position model. The record is from RNAcentral.